GCUGAGCUUGGUCACGCAAGCUUGUGACCUAAGUAGGAGCAUCAAAAUGGUGGAACAAUAAACUUGAUAAGUGUAUACAGAUGUAUGUUGCUCGCUGGUUUGGGGUUUCAACUAGGAAAGCCGCCAUCACAUGGGGGAAAUGACUGCUCUCUGCUCCAGAGCAGCAGGCCCUCUAGCUAGCCACACUUGGCAGAUGAUGCGCGCAUGACCUAACCCCCACGGAAAAACCUCGACAUGUACCAUCUAAAAUCUCUAUCUAAUUGAACCAUCAUUUUU
RNAcentral lists this non-coding RNA (276 nucleotides) under Beta vulgaris subsp. vulgaris (sugar beet). The record is from RNAcentral. Lineage: Eukaryota; Viridiplantae; Streptophyta; Magnoliopsida; Caryophyllales; Amaranthaceae.